This 434-nucleotide ribosomal RNA is filed under the name uncultured bacterium. RNAcentral's name for it is "partial 16S ribosomal RNA". It matches the Rfam family "Bacterial small subunit ribosomal RNA", at positions 29 to 507 of the family's 1533-position model. The record is from RNAcentral.
AGCGAACGCUGGCGGCAGGCCUAACACAUGCAAGUCGAACGAACCUUUCGGGGUUAGUGGCGGACGGGUGAGUAACACGUGGGAACGUGCCUUUAGGUUCGGAAUAACUCAGGGGAACUUGUGCUAAUACCGAAUGUGCCCUUCGGGGGAAAGAUUAAUCGCCUUUAGAGCGGCCCGCGUCUGAUUAGCUAGUUGGUUGAGGUAAUGGCUCACCAAGGCGACGAUCAGUAGCUGGUCUGAGAGGAUGAUCAGCCACAUUGGGACUGAGACACGGCCCAAACUCCUACGGGAAGCAGCAGUGGGGAAUCUUGCGCAAUGGGCGAAAGCCUGACGCAGCCAUGCCGCGUGAAUGAUGAAGGUCUUAGGAUUGUAAAAUUCUUUCACCGGGGACGAUAAUGACGGUACCCGGAGAAGAAGCCCCGGCUAACUUCGUG